Molecule: unclassified non-coding RNA, 225 nt
Filed under: plant metagenome
Description: partial contains small subunit ribosomal RNA, internal transcribed spacer 1, and 5.8S ribosomal RNA
Source: RNAcentral
UCUCCGUUGGUGAACCAGCGGAGGGAUCAUUACAGGACUCGCAAGACUCCUACAACCCUGAGAUCUUAACUAUCAGCACGUUGCCGCGGCGGGUGUCCCGGAGGGGGUCUGCCCCCCCCGGGACGCUCAACCCGCCGGCAGGCUACUAUACUCUGUCUCUUUGCGUUGGCAUCUCGAGUACUAUCAAACAAGUUAAAACUUUCAGCAACGGAUCUCUUGGUUCUG